GGGUGAUGCUUCAGGUUCUCCCUGAAAUGUCGGCAAGAGAACUCGAAGGAUCCCCGA
Molecule: microRNA precursor, 57 nt
Filed under: Monodelphis domestica (gray short-tailed opossum)
Lineage: Eukaryota; Metazoa; Chordata; Mammalia; Didelphimorphia; Didelphidae
Description: microRNA mdo-mir-12349 precursor
Source: miRBase by way of RNAcentral